This 447-nucleotide long non-coding RNA is filed under the name Bos taurus (domestic cattle). RNAcentral describes it as "long non-coding RNA NONBTAT010866". Lineage: Eukaryota; Metazoa; Chordata; Mammalia; Artiodactyla; Bovidae. The record is from RNAcentral.
CCUUUUUCACAGUAUAAAACUUGACAAGUUAAAAAAAGAAGUAGGGGGCAGGAAAGUAAUAGAAUGGAUUUUAAUCACUCCUUUAAAGCCAGACUAUUUGGCACAAAAGUAAAUCUGCCUAGAUGUUCUUGCAAUAUCUUGACCUUCCAUUCAGUGGAGUGUGUGAUCUCCAGGCUGACAUAGGCCAGUUUCUGAGAUGCUGCUGUAUCACGCCCCUCCAUUCUAAAAUUUUCCCCUUGGGGAAAGUUUGGGGGCCUGCUCUCUCUCAUUCUCCACCUUUUCCCAUUGUAGGGCAUUUGAGGAAGUGGCAGAAAUCUCUCUAAAUUUUCCAUUUUGACAGUAAAUUCUGGUUUUUAGAACUUAUCUUCCAAACUAGAGACUCAUUAGCAUUUAAGUGACUGUCACUAAGAAGUUGCUUAGGAUAUUCCUUGCAUCACGACCUGGAAG